RNAcentral lists this ribosomal RNA (430 nucleotides) under bacterium. RNAcentral's name for it is "partial 16S ribosomal RNA". It matches the Rfam family "Bacterial small subunit ribosomal RNA", at positions 355 to 776 of the family's 1533-position model. The record is from RNAcentral.
UGGGGAAUUGUUCGCAAUGGGCGCAAGCCUGACGACGCAACGCCGCGUGGAGGAUGAAGACCUUCGGGUCGUAAACUCCUUUCGAUCGAGACGAAUGGCCUCCGGGUGAAUAAUCCGGAGGAGUGACGGUACCGAGAGAAGAAGCCCCGGCUAACUCCGUGCCAGCAGCCGCGGUAAUACGGGGGGGGCAAGCGUUGUUCGGAAUUACUGGGCGUAAAGGGCUCGUAGGUGGCCAACUAAGUCAGACGUGAAAUCCCUCGGCUUAACCGGGGAACUGCAUCUGAUACUGGAUGGCUUGAGUUUGGGAGAGGGACGCGGAAUUCCAGGUGUAGCGGUGAAAUGCGUAGAUAUCUGGAGGAACACCGGUGGCGAAGGCGGCGUCCUGGACAAAUACUGACACUGAUGAGCGAAAGCCAGGGGAGCAAACGGG